GUGCCAGCCGCCGCGGUAAUACGUAGGGUGCAGGCGUUAAUCGGAAUUACUGGGCGUAAAGCGUGCGCAGGCGGUCUAUUAAGACAGGUGUGAAAUCCCCGGGCUUAACCUGGGAACUGCGCUUGUAACUGAUAGGCUUGAGUGUGGCAGAGGGGGGUGGAAUUCCACGUGUAGCAGUGAAAUGCGUAGAGAUGUGGAGGAACACCGAUGGCGAAGGCAGCCCCCUGGGCUAACACUGACGCUCAUGCACGAAAGCGUGGGGAGCAAACAGGAUUAGAUACCCUCGUAGUCC
RNAcentral lists this ribosomal RNA (292 nucleotides) under uncultured bacterium. Its description in RNAcentral is "partial 16S ribosomal RNA". It matches the Rfam family "Bacterial small subunit ribosomal RNA", at positions 505 to 796 of the family's 1533-position model. The record is from RNAcentral.